Non-coding RNA from Pelobates cultripes (western spadefoot toad), 349 nucleotides. Lineage: Eukaryota; Metazoa; Chordata; Amphibia; Anura; Pelobatidae. The record is from the annotation of a GenBank genome assembly.
GGGAGAUACUGGAGGGCCUGUUUACACAAGUACUGGGGGAAGAAGCACCACCGGAUUUCGGUUUGGAGCGUGCCCACCGGGCACUCCGACCUCCAAGGAGAGAUGGUCACCCUAGGGACCUGGUAUGUUGCUUCCAAUCGUUUCAGCUGAAGGAAACAAUCAUGAGGGCGGCUAGAACGCAGCGCACCAUUACAUACAUGGACUCUAGGGUCUCCUUGUACCACGACCUGUCCCCCCUCACCCUCGAUGCCAGGCGAGCUCUGAAGCCACUCACAGGCCUCUUACAGCAGAAACGGAUCCCAUAUAAGUGGGGAUUCCCGUUUAGCCUACAGGCCAGAGUGAAUAACCG